This 69-nucleotide transfer RNA is filed under the name Cordylochernes scorpioides. RNAcentral's name for it is "tRNA-Ala". The record is from RNAcentral. Lineage: Eukaryota; Metazoa; Arthropoda; Arachnida; Pseudoscorpiones; Chernetidae.
UGCAUCGGCCGGGAAUCGAACCAUGGCCGCCCUCGGCAGGCGGGCAUUCUACCACUGAACAACCGAUGG